GUGGGGAAUAUUGGACAAUGGGGGCAACCCUGAUCCAGCAAUUCUGUGUGCACGAUGAAGGUUUUCGGAUUGUAAAGUGCUUUCAGCAGGGAAGAAAAAAAUGACGGUACCUGCAGAAGAAGCGACGGCUAAAUACGUGCCAGCAGCCGCGGUAAUACGUAUGUCGCAAGCGUUAUCCGGAAUUAUUGGGCAUAAAGGGCAUCUAGGCGGCCAGAUAAGUCUGGGGUGAAAACUUGCGGCUCAACCGCAAGCCUGCCCUGGAAACUAUGUGGCUAGAGUACUGGAGAGGUGGACGGAACUGCACGAGUAGAGGUGAAAUUCGUAGAUAUGUGCAGGAAUGCCGAUGAUGAAGAUAGUUCACUGGACGGUAACUGACGCUGAAGUGCGAAAGCUAGGGGAGCAAACAGG
Molecule: ribosomal RNA, 408 nt
Filed under: uncultured bacterium
Lineage: Bacteria
Description: bacterial SSU rRNA
Rfam family: Bacterial small subunit ribosomal RNA
Source: RNAcentral